This 1178-nucleotide long non-coding RNA is filed under the name Salvia miltiorrhiza (redroot sage). Its description in RNAcentral is "long non-coding RNA (SMIL_LNC002563)". Lineage: Eukaryota; Viridiplantae; Streptophyta; Magnoliopsida; Lamiales; Lamiaceae. The record is from RNAcentral.
GUUUAGGCGGUGAAUUAUUGUUUGUCUAAUUUUCAUUUGUUUCAUUUUACAUUUGCUUCAUUAUUCAUUUACAUUUAAGGUUUUCUUCAUUUACAAUUUCUUCCCCUCAGCGGCGAAAUACAAAUCUGAACCUUAUUUGGUGAACAAGGGCGGCGAAAUUCAAAGGUUAGAUAAAAAUUAUUAUGUUUUUUUUGUUCUUUUGGUGAACAAGGUGGACAAGGCGGAACCCUAUUUGUUUUUUGGUGAACAAGUUGGACUCGAUUUUGAGAAAUUCAAGUAAUAAGUUUACUAGUAUUUUCGAUUUAUGUUGUCUUUCUCAGUUUUCCCGAUUUUUCCAAAACAAAAUGGAGAAAUGGUUAUUUAUGCUUAUUUAUGAAGAUUUGUUGAAUAAUAACUUCGAUUUACUGUAUGGGCCCCUCAUCUUUUACAAAACGCACGUGUUGUCCUUAUUUGCAUCUGUCGUUUUCAAAAAGGUGUUGGGAUUGUGUUUAUGAAUAUUGAUUUUUUUUUUCUUUCUGUAUGAACCCUACCAGCAUUCGCCCUCCAUUCCACAGACGACUAAAUCUGAGCCUUUUUUAUGUACUAAAUGUACUAAUCUAUACCCAAAAUAGAAGGAAUAAACAAAAAAAUUGAUGGGGUUUUUAUAUGCACUUUAUGCACGUAUUAUUUUGGAUGUUUUUCUAUUGAUUAUUGAAGUUUGAAUUUUUAAUUUUACGUUUACAGUAAAAUAUGCUAAUUUCAUGUUUUUAUUUGUUUACUUAAGGCACCAAUGGUUGGUCAAUCAAAAGUGAAGAAUAAUGCAAAAGGUAUAAUUUGUAUUAAUUUAUUUCUAUAUUUGCGGUUCUGCUUAUAUCAAUUAGAAAAUUAAUGAUCUCCUUAUCUUUUGUUCAUAAAAAGCUUUGGGUGGGGAAAAUGGUGAUUCCCCGGUGAAGAAGAAACAAAGGACCACUGCACUGCCUGGAAUAGUAAUUCGUGGUAGACUUGUUUUAAAAAAAUUAUUAUUUUUAGGGUUAUUGUGACUUUGAAAAUGAUAUAUUUUUUUAAUUCACUGUGUUAUAGUAAUUGUAGUUUCAUAUAUUUUUAAAAUUGGCGCACAAGUCUCAUCAUCAUAUGUAACCUUAUGGUAUGUAUGACGUUGAUAGUCCAUUGCGCUGUUGAAAUUCAUAUAUAAUAGCAAG